GGAGGAAAAGAAACUAACAAGGAUUCCCCUAGUAGCGGCGAGCGAAGAGGGAAAAGCCCAGCACCGAACCUCGCACCUUCGGGUGUCGCGGAAUGUGGUGUUCAGGAGGACCGUGCGCGUCUGUCCGGUAUCGUCCAAGUCUCCAUGAAUGGGGCCAGCAACCCAGAGAGGGUGUCAGGCCCGUGGGACGAGCCGCGACCGUGUAUUGGGUCUCUCCUUAGAGUCGGGUUGCUUGAGAGUGCAGCCCUAAGCGGGAGGUAAACUCCUUCUAAGGCUAAAUACGGCCACGAGACCGAUAGCAAACAAGUACCGCGAGGGAAAGUUGAAAAGAACUUUGAAGAGAGAGUUCAAGAGUGCGUGAAACCGUUCAGGGGGUUAAACGGGUGGGCCCUCGAAGGUCGAACGGUCCCCACUCCCGUCACUCGUAGGCCGGUCCGCGCCGUCUUCGAUUCCUUAUGGAACGAGUCGGCGCGGUUCGCCGGUUUACGGGGGCCGCUAGCUGGGGACCCAGUAGGACUCCGCAACCGGUUGGGCAGGCCGUCAGAAGGGUUCUGGAGGAAGCUUCCUUUGGAGGUGGAUUCCGGGAUUCCGGGCGGUCCUCUCGACCGUGAACCCAAAUUUCUCCCUUCACGGGGUAGAAUGCGCGGAGAGUAGAGUCGGGUCCCACCCGACCCGUCUUGAAACACGGACCAAGGAGUCUAACAUGUACGCGAGUCGUCGGGUACUACUAAACCCGAAGGCGCAAUGAAAGUGAAGGCCGCCCUCGUUGGCGGCCGAGGGGAGAUCCCGUUCUGCUCCGGUAGCUCGGGCGCAUCCCCGGGGCGUCGAAGCCGCGUUGCCGGCUAGACGAACCAAGAGCGUACACGUUGGGACCCGAAAGAUGGUGACCUAUGCCUGGCCAGGACGAAGCCAGGGGAAACCCUGGUGGAGGUCCGCAGCGAUUCUGACGUGCAAAUCGAUCGUCUGAGUUGGGUAUAGGGGCGAAAGACUAAUCGAACCAUCUAGUAGCUGGUUCCCCCCGAAGUUCCCUCAG
RNAcentral lists this ribosomal RNA (1033 nucleotides) under Limnadia badia. RNAcentral describes it as "eukaryotic LSU rRNA". It matches the Rfam family "Eukaryotic large subunit ribosomal RNA", at positions 52 to 976 of the family's 3401-position model. The record is from RNAcentral. Lineage: Eukaryota; Metazoa; Arthropoda; Branchiopoda; Diplostraca; Limnadiidae.